RNAcentral lists this ribosomal RNA (388 nucleotides) under uncultured bacterium. RNAcentral's name for it is "bacterial SSU rRNA". It matches the Rfam family "Bacterial small subunit ribosomal RNA", at positions 29 to 414 of the family's 1533-position model. The record is from RNAcentral.
AGUGAACGCUGGCGGCAGGCCUAAUACAUGCAAGUCGAACGGCAGCACAGUGGAGCUUGCUCCAUGGGUGGCGAGUGGCGGACGGGUGAGGAAUACAUGGGAAUCUGCCCAGUCGUGGGGGAUAACGUAUGGAAACGUACGCUAAUACCGCAUGCGCCCUUCGGGGAAAGUCGGGGACCGCAAGGCCUGACGCGAUUGGAUGAGCCCAUGUUCGAUUAGCUAGUUGGCGGGUAACGGCCCACCAAGGCGACGAUCGAUAGCUGGUCUGAGAGGAUGAUCAGCCACACUGGAACUGAGACACGGUCCAGACUCCUACGGGAGGCAGCAGUAGGGAAUAUUGGACAAUGGGCGCAAGCCUGAUCCAGCCAUGCCGCGUGAGUGAAGAAGG